RNAcentral lists this ribosomal RNA (254 nucleotides) under uncultured bacterium. Its description in RNAcentral is "partial 16S ribosomal RNA". It matches the Rfam family "Bacterial small subunit ribosomal RNA", at positions 524 to 776 of the family's 1533-position model. The record is from RNAcentral.
UACGUAGGGCGCAAGCGUUGUCCGGAAUUAUUGGGCGUAAAGAGCUCGUAGGCGGCCAGUUGCGUCUGCUGUGAAAUCCCGGGGCUCAACCCCGGGCGUGCAGUGGAUACGGGCUGGCUAGAGGCAGGCAGGGGAGAACGGAAUUCCCGGUGUAGCGGUGAAAUGCGCAGAUAUCGGGGAGGAACACCGGUGGCGAAGGCGGUUCUCUGGGCCUGUACUGACGCUGAGGAGCGAAAGCGUGGGGAGCGAACAGG